RNAcentral lists this transfer RNA (74 nucleotides) under Schleiferiaceae bacterium. RNAcentral's name for it is "tRNA-Ala". It matches the Rfam family "tRNA". From Rfam's summary of the family: Transfer RNA (tRNA) molecules are approximately 80 nucleotides in length. Their secondary structure includes four short double-helical elements and three loops (D, anti-codon, and T loops). The record is from RNAcentral. Lineage: Bacteria; Pseudomonadati; Bacteroidota; Flavobacteriia; Flavobacteriales; Schleiferiaceae.
GAAUCAUUUAUGAGUGACAUUAGAAUACUUGACUGGCAGUCAAGAGGUCGUGGGUUCGAAUCCCAUCUUCUCCA